This is a long non-coding RNA of Mus musculus (house mouse), 2035 nucleotides long. RefSeq annotates it as predicted gene 20627. The transcript has 3 exons. NCBI's taxonomy places the organism in Eukaryota, Metazoa, Chordata, Mammalia, Rodentia, Muridae. The record is from RefSeq and is a predicted model, not a curated record.
AGUCCAAGGUACCAAAUACUGAAUAUGAUGAGGAAUCUAGAUACUUUUCUGAAUCUCAAACUACAGAAAUCAGUAUGUUUUGGGGAAUCAGGGGAGUCUGGGCAGAAGGAAUGAGCUUGUGUCCGUUUUUGGGAAAUCCAGAGUGCCUGCCAUCCUAGUCAGUUAGGUAUUCAGUAACCGAGAAGCAGGGACUGAGGGGAAAUUGCAAGGACAGCAUUUGUGACCCUUUGAGCUGAAAAAGAAAUGGGCUUCCCUUUACAAACUCACCAACAGCUUGCUAUCCUAGUUCAUGUCAUGCUGUAACUCUCACUGCUAAGGGCCUUGCAGAUAAACACAUCUGAUCUUGCUUAAGUGCUCUCAAACACUGGCUCACAAAGGUUUAAAGAGAACUAAGCAAAUAAAAGAAGCAGAGAACAUUUCCAGACUCAAGUCGGUAGUUAUGAAAGUGAGAUUUUACAUCUAUCAGCAUGGGGCACCUGAGUCUUGCUGCAGUCUUACUGAGACUGACUGAUUUGGAAAAUCUGGGUUUAUGGCCCAGCGAUUUGUGGUUUAAGUAAAAAAUAUAGAUGGAAAGAGUUGCUUUAUUUGCCAAGCAUUUGAGGCAAAUGUAGAGGAUGUAGAAAUUAGAAAAGUAAAGACUUUUUUUUUUUUUUUUUGGUUUCUUGAGACAGGGUUUCUCUGUGUAGCCCUGGCUGUCCUGGAACUCACUCUGUAGACCAGGCUGGCCUCGAACUCAGAAACCCGCCUGCCUCUGCCUUGCAAGUGCUGGGAUUAAAGGUGUGCACCACCACACCCGGCAAGGUUUGUUUUAUUAAAUCUUUCUUUGUGCUUUUUAUAACACAGUACUGAAUUUAAUAAUCAAUGAAUAUGUUUUCUUUUCUUCCCAAGUUUUUCCAAUAUCCUACCUUUAAACCAUUACUAUACCUUUUCUUUUCUUUUCUUUUCUUUUCUUUUCUUUUCUUUUCUUUUCUUUUCUUUUCUUUUCUUUUCUUUUGAGAGAGGGUCUCUGUAUAUUCCUGGCUGUCCUGGAACUGUAGGUAUACCAGGCUGGCCUUGAGCGUACAGAGACCCACCUGGCACUGACUCUGGAUUGCUGAGGUUAAAGGCAGUGCACUACAGAGCCCAGCUAAGUGACACCUUUAAACAUCUUUCCAGAGAGAUUCCUUUGGAUGACCUUGAUGGUGGCCUUUGCCCACAUCUUGUCAGUCUCACUUGUACCAUGCUAUGGCAUGACUGAAGCAUUUAAGCUAUGCUGAGUCUGUGAAGAUCAAACCAGAGAAUCAGGCUUCCCUUUGCACUAAUACAUUUCUUCUUUAUCACCUCAGCUAUCUGUAACAGGAAGGGCCAUAAAACCCUGCUCAGCCACUAUUAACAAUGAAGACUGUAAGAUGUAAUCAUACUUUGGAGGCGGGGGAGGGGCUUGCUAGCAAAAUAGUUUCCUUUUCAUUUCCAACCCUGAAAAUUCUCCAAGAGGUAAACUCUAACGUCUCUUUCAUCUCUAGAGUAGAUUCAGAACAUCCACUGGAGGGUAAACAUCUUCUCUAGUUUCCUGUCACCAGAUACUUAGGUGGCACAAAUGUCUGCAAGGCCAUUUUGUGUCCUUGAGCCCCUCUGGCUCAACACUGCCUGAAGCCCAUCUUCCAGGCCCUGAAUAAUUAAAGGCCAUAAGCUCAGAGUUGGUUUUGAUCAGUUUCUACCCAUGCAGGUUCAGGCAAGCGAAGGCAUGCCUGAGGCAGCAGUCGCUGUGGCUGCUCCCCGAUCUCAUCGAUCUCGUCGCCAGACCCUCAUCUGCUAUCGUCCCGAAGCCUGAGACUAGGCCUCCUAUCUCGGAAGCUCCUCUGGCUCCUUCACACCACCAUCUGCUUACUAAUCUCCACAGACAGCUUGAUUUCUCAUCUGCUUAAGCAACUAGUUUUUUCUCUUCUCUUUACACUUAGUUCCUAAACUCCCACCCUUGUAAAAAGCAAUUUUAUGUUUAAAAUGUCUUAUCUCACUAUAUUAUAAUAUAUUAAAUUAAUAAAAUCGGAUUUUAAAA